This 396-nucleotide ribosomal RNA is filed under the name uncultured bacterium. RNAcentral's name for it is "partial 16S ribosomal RNA". It matches the Rfam family "Bacterial small subunit ribosomal RNA", at positions 523 to 918 of the family's 1533-position model. The record is from RNAcentral.
AUACGUAGGGAGCAAGCGUUGCCCGGAAUUACUGGGUGUAAAGGGAGCGUAGGCGGGAUAGCAAGUCAGGUGUGAAAACUAUGGGCUCAACCCAUAGAUUGCACUUGAAACUGCUGUUCUUGAGUGAAGUAGAGGUAAGCGGAAUUCCUAGUGUAGCGGUGAAAUGCGUAGAUAUUAGGAGGAACAUCAGUGGCGAAGGCGGCUUACUGGGCUUAUACUGACGCUGAGGCUCGAAAGCGUGGGGAGCAAACAGGAUUAGAUCCCCUGGUAGUCCACGCCGUAAACGAUGAUUACUAGGUGUGGGGGGACUGACCCCUUCCGUGCCGCAGUUAACACAAUAAGUAAUCCACCUGGGGAGUACGGCCGCAAGGCUAAAACUCAAAGGAAUUGACGGGG